RNAcentral lists this ribosomal RNA (738 nucleotides) under Lactiplantibacillus plantarum. RNAcentral describes it as "bacterial SSU rRNA". It matches the Rfam family "Bacterial small subunit ribosomal RNA", at positions 108 to 834 of the family's 1533-position model. Lineage: Bacteria; Bacillati; Bacillota; Bacilli; Lactobacillales; Lactobacillaceae. The record is from RNAcentral.
GAGUAAACGUGGGAGACCCGCCCAGAGGCGGGGGAUAACACCUGGAAACAGAUGCUAAUACCGCAUAACAACUUGGACCGCAUGGUCCGAGUUUGAAAGAUGGCUUCGGCUAUCACUUUUUGGAUGGUCCCGCGGCGUAUUAGCUAGAUGGUGGGGUAACGGCUCACCAUGGCAAUGAUACGUAGCCGACCUGAGAGGGUAAUCGGCCACAUUGGGACUGAGACACGGCCCAAACUCCUACGGGAGGCAGCAGUAGGGAAUCUUCCACAAUGGACGAAAGUCUGAUGGAGCAACGCCGCGUGAGUGAAGAAGGGUUUCGGCUCGUAAAACUCUGUUGUUAAAGAAGAACAUAUCUGAGAGUAACUGUUCAGGUAUUGACGGUAUUUAACCAGAAAGCCACGGCUAACUACGUGCCAGCAGCCGCGGUAAUACGUAGGUGGCAAGCGUUGUCCGGAUUUAUUGGGCGUAAAGCGAGCGCAGGCGGUUUUUUAAGUCUGAUGUGAAAGCCUUCGGCUCAACCCGAAGAAGUGCAUCGGAAACUGGGAAACUUGAGUGCAGAAGAGGACAGUGGAACUCCAUGUGUAGCGGUGAAAUGCGUAGAUAUAUGGAAGAACACCAGUGGCGAACGCGGCUGUCUGGUCUGUAACUGACGCUGAGGCUCGAAAGUAUGGGUAGCAACAGGAUUAGAUACCCUGGUAGUCCAUACCGUAACGAUGAUGCUAGUGUUGAGGUUUCGCC